Zingiber officinale is the source of this 829-nucleotide long non-coding RNA. RefSeq lists it as uncharacterized. Lineage: Eukaryota; Viridiplantae; Streptophyta; Magnoliopsida; Zingiberales; Zingiberaceae. The record is from RefSeq and is a predicted model, not a curated record. The transcript has 3 exons.
CCGACCUUUCCCUCUCUGCCCGACGCGAAUUCCCGAUUUCCUCUCCCUCUUGUUCUCUCUGUUCUCUCUCGCGGGUGACUCGACGCCGAGCCAGGAGGGGCACGUCACCGGUGCUCGACGGAGACCAGCAGGCUCCAGGUUGUCUUCGGCUGAGGAGUCUCUGCUCCGACGGAUUUUGUUGCUGAGCGUUGAUAGUACGGCGGCUAGGGCAUCGGUGGGAGGCUUGAUCUGUGUCAUCCCUAGCCUAUCGACUCUUCGUUCCUUCUCCACGAGUCGCUCACAGAGCAGUCCGUGUCUCCCUUCUCGUCUGAUUUGGAUCAAGCGACGCCACCGAGGAGUGAUCUUGAAGGAGGGAAGUGUCGGAUCUAUGUCUUGAUGUGUCCCCUGUUCAGAUCUUGGUCCUCUUCUUGCGGCUGAUAGGGUGGAUUCCGAUAGGGAGGUGUUGUUUGGUGGCUUUCUAGGUUUCGGCAGCAACUAUCCCGGUUGAGGUUGUUGUUCUGUGAAGGUGAUUUUGGUUUCCAGCAGAGCUUGCUGUGGUUUCUUUGAUCCAGCAAGGAAACUAUCUCUCACUGUGUCGUCGGCAGAGGCUUUAGAUCAGUGAGGUUGAGGUCGUCGGGAGAUAUUCCAGUCGCUAGCCCCCCCUUGUCGCGAGGAUUCUUUAUUGUUGGUUUCUGUUAUGAUUUCUAUGCAUAUACUGGUGAUGUGAGUUUUGUAUUGUGGACUUUAUGUUGAACCUUUGGGUUUGCUACUUUUGUUUUCCGUUGUGGAUAUUUUCAUUACUUCGUGGAUUUCAUUUUCUUCGUUGUAGUGGAGUAGGAUGUUAUACAUA